GUUGGUAGAGCGUCAGUCUCAUAAUCUGAAGGUCGCCAGUUCGAUCCUGGCAGGGAGCA
RNAcentral lists this transfer RNA (59 nucleotides) under Albugo candida. It matches the Rfam family "tRNA", at positions 15 to 71 of the family's 71-position model. From Rfam's summary of the family: Transfer RNA (tRNA) molecules are approximately 80 nucleotides in length. The record is from Rfam by way of RNAcentral. Lineage: Eukaryota; Oomycota; Peronosporomycetes; Albuginales; Albuginaceae.